RNAcentral lists this ribosomal RNA (272 nucleotides) under Aspergillus sp. BAB-1422. Its description in RNAcentral is "partial 28S ribosomal RNA". It matches the Rfam family "Eukaryotic large subunit ribosomal RNA", at positions 331 to 608 of the family's 3401-position model. The record is from RNAcentral. Lineage: Eukaryota; Fungi; Ascomycota; Eurotiomycetes; Eurotiales; Aspergillaceae.
AGACCGAUAGCGAACAAGUAGAGUGAUCGAAAGAUGAAAAGCACUUUGAAAAGAGAGUUAAACAGCACGUGAAAUUGUUGAAAGGGAAGCGCUUGCAACCAGACUCCGCUCGCGGGGUUCAGCCGGGCUUCGGCCCGGUGUACUUCCCCGCGGGCGGGCCAGCGUCGGUUUGGGCGGCCGGUCAAAGGCCUCCGGAAUGUAGCGCCCUUCGGGGCGCCUUAUAGCCGGGGGUGCAAUGCGGCCAGCCUGGACCGAGGAACGCGCUUCGCACG